AAUAGAUACCCCGGUAGUCCACGCCGUAAACGAUGAGUGCUAAGUGUUGGGGGUUUCCGCCCCUCAGUGCUGCAGCUAACGCAUUAAGCACUCCGCCUGGGGAGUACGGUCGCAAGACUGAAACUCAAAGGAAUUGACGGGGGCCCGGCACAAGCGGUGGAGCAUGUGGUUUAAUUCGAAGCAACGCGAAGAACCUUACCAGGUCUUGACAUCCCGGUGACCACUAUGGAGACAUAGUUUCCCCUUCGGGGGCAACGGUGACAGGUGGUGCAUGGUUGUCGUCAGCUCGUGUCGUGAGAUGUUGGGUUAAGUCCCGCAACGAGCGCAACCCUUAUUCUUAGUUGCCAUCAUUUAGUUGGGCACUCUAAGGAGACUGCCGGUGAUAAACCGGAGGAAGGUGGGGAUGACGUCAAAUCAUCAUGCCCCUUAUGACCUGGGCUACACACGUGCUACAAUGGACGGUACAAACGGUUGCCAACCCGCGAGGGGGAGCUAACCCGAUAAAACCGUUCUCAGUUCGGAUUGUAGGCUGCAACUCGCUACAUGAAGCCGGAA
Molecule: ribosomal RNA, 555 nt
Filed under: uncultured bacterium
Lineage: Bacteria
Description: bacterial SSU rRNA
Rfam family: Bacterial small subunit ribosomal RNA
Source: RNAcentral